Molecule: small nucleolar RNA, 73 nt
Filed under: Zalophus californianus (California sea lion)
Lineage: Eukaryota; Metazoa; Chordata; Mammalia; Carnivora; Otariidae
Description: Small nucleolar RNA SNORD113/SNORD114 family (ENSZCAG00015005919.1)
Rfam family: Small nucleolar RNA SNORD113/SNORD114 family
About the family: The imprinted human domain at 14q32 contains two clusters of tandemly repeated small nucleolar RNAs named 14q(I) and 14q(II) snoRNAs. These two clusters are named SNORD113 and SNORD114 respectively in the HGNC approved gene symbol nomenclature. The snoRNAs found in both clusters are clearly related and are represented here by a single family.
Source: RNAcentral
UGUGUCAACAAUGACCACUGGUAGCAUAUGAGUCAUAUAUAAAGAAUACAUGUCUGGAACUCUUGAGGUCCAC